CGAGUUUUGAUCGUUUUUGAGCAAUGUAUAUAAAUGUCUACAACUUCAGUAAUUUUCAAAGUCUAAUCUUGCUUAAUUACGUCAUACGUGACGUCACGAAACGUAUCACAAGCGGUACAACUGGCAAACACCGUUUUCACGAAGUGGCCUCUUACGCGCAAAUGUAGUCUGCUAUUGAUAAUUGUACAGGAACCGGCUCCGCGAAGCCUUUGUCACAGAUGCCGGUGCUUCUGGCGGAAUUGUUAGAGGAAUCUGACAGCCCUAGUAGAAUAGCCGGCUGAGAGGACCAUCACUAGCACUCCCAGUGGCUGAUGUCUAAGUAGGAGUUUGACGUGGAGAGCUUUAAGCAUGUUGUUGAGUUUACCAGUAAAAUAGACAGCUGGGAUACGCAAGAGAUGAGGGACCACUAGCACCCCCAGUGGUUGAUGUCCAUGUAGGAGUUUGUGCAGCUGAUGUGGAGAGCUUUUAGCAAAUUGACAAGCAUCUUCACCCUCUGCCCUUGAACUGAUUGCUUUUCCAAUACCAUGGUUUGGAGGUCAGACCAAACGACUGACAGACCGACCGACUGAAUAGCUAAGUCCCCUCAGUCAUCAAAGGAUGGACAAAAAUACAGAAGUUAUUGUUAGGUGGGAUCGUGAUGGAGAGAUCAAUUGUGGCAAGAAACGAGAUCUUCGAUAUAACGGAAGGCUUAGGGUGGGUUCAAGAGUCACUAUGAGCUAGAUGGAUGUGGACUGGACGGGGACUGCAACGCUGACAGGAGACUCUGACUCCGAAUGUGCCUCCAUUUAGAGGUUUUGUGGUCUAGUGGAUAAGUCGUUGGACUGUGGAUCACAGGAUCCAUGGUUCAAGUCCCGCCACAGCAGUAAUGUCUUUUGGCAAGAUAUUAAUCUACAU
Strongylocentrotus purpuratus (purple sea urchin) is the source of this 894-nucleotide long non-coding RNA. RefSeq lists it as uncharacterized. NCBI's taxonomy places the organism in Eukaryota, Metazoa, Echinodermata, Echinoidea, Camarodonta, Strongylocentrotidae. The transcript is spliced from 5 exons. The record is from RefSeq and is a predicted model, not a curated record.